AACGGCAGUUACUGCUGACGGAUAACCGUGAAUCAACACGGGUGCUGUAACUGCCUGCCCGCCGAAUCAAGCGGACACCUUAUGCCGACCGUCUGGGCAGUCCGA
This 105-nucleotide non-coding RNA is filed under the name [Eubacterium] siraeum DSM 15702. Lineage: Bacteria; Bacillati; Bacillota; Clostridia; Eubacteriales; Oscillospiraceae. The record is from RNAcentral.